This 1856-nucleotide long non-coding RNA is filed under the name Gossypium barbadense (sea-island cotton). RNAcentral's name for it is "long non-coding RNA (GBAR_LNC000279)". The record is from RNAcentral. Lineage: Eukaryota; Viridiplantae; Streptophyta; Magnoliopsida; Malvales; Malvaceae.
CCAAAUCAAAUCCCUUAGUCCUCUGCUAUGUCGCUGUCAACAAUCCUCUGUUGCAUCAUCAUCGACAGUCCUCUACUGCAUCGCCGUCGAUAGUCCUCUGUUGCAUCGCCAUGUAAGUUUUUAUUUUUUUCAUUUUGUUUGUUUGUUAAAUUAUUUUCUCAUCUUUGAAAUCCUAACCCUUUUCUCUUCUGUAUAAACACCACACUAGAAACAUCUUUUCUGUAUAAACGACCUACCGUUCUCUUCACUUUCUCUAAAAAUUUCUCCCGAUCUGUGAAAAUAAUCUGGUAAUUUUUCAUUUCAUUCUAUAUUUUUUUAUAUUUUUUUAAAUUUGGUUAAUGUUAUUGGGUUGUUGAAUUUUACGAGUUGGGACUGCAAUUUUUUAAGGUUUUAUUGAGUUAUUUUUUGAAGUAUAAUUGAUUAUGAGAAGCUCAAAUCUCGUUUUUCUUUGAAGUAUUUUUUGAAGUAUAUCCCGACCUACUUUGUUCAUGCAUUGGUAUAUGACUGUUAGAUAUUGAGGAACGAAUUGGUAUAUGAUUAAUUUGUAGUAAUCUGUUUAUGCAUGGUUUCUGUUUUUCCUUUUUUAGAAGAACACAAUAUGAUUGGGGUAGCAGAUAAAUCUAUUUGAUUAAUUUUUAGUAUUAGUCUUGUACCAUAUUUGUAGGUUUAGUUCAUUUUUCAAAUUCCAAAUUUGAUCAUUUUUAGUUGGGUGCGUAGAAAAUUGGGGUAAUAGGAACAUAAGUGCUUAAUUAACUAAAUUAUUUAAUAGCACUGUUUCUUUUUAAGAAAAUAAACAUUUGUUUUGGAAGAAUUUGUGUGAAAGGUAAACGAUUUCAUAUAUAUAUAUUAACAAAAUACAAAUAUAGAAUAUAUUAAUCUACCUUAAAUAUAUAUUUUUUGUUCUGGAAGAAUUUAUAUGAAAGGUAAACGAUUUCCUAUAUGAGUUGAAGUCUAAAGACUAAUUGACAUGCCCUACAACUUGAAUUUUGUUGAGGGAUGGACGAAAAUCAUUCUAACAUAUAACCAUUCCAAUUUUUGUGCUUGAUAUACUAGUUAAUGAUAUAUUGACUUAUAAAAAUUCAUUUUUUUUGGAAACAAAAUAAUAAAAUUUUAUUUAAACAUGAGAGUUUCGAUAUAGAUAUGUGUAAAUAGUAAUCUUCUAAUUAUAUGAUAUAACACAUAAUAACCCAAUCUAGCAACAUGUGUUAUUGUUGUAGAUAUCUUCUACCCAAAUGCUUCCAAGUUUAAAAUUUAUCUUAUAAUUUGAGUUUUUAUCACACCAGUUUUAAGAGGUGGUACUAAUGAAGGUUUAGUAAUUUCGAUGUUUAGGAAACUUUUUAACAUUUGAGGAAGCUUCAUGAUUUUUUGUUUUCUAUUUUCAAGCUGGUUUAGGUAAAUAUUUGCUAGCACUUGGUGUGUGUAUCUACUGUACUGGGUUUAUGAAUGUUAAUUUGUUUUCUUGCAGGGUUUUGAUUUGAGGAAAAAUUAAAGUUUGGGUUUAGAGAUACGUAGUUAUCAACAUUAGUUGGCAGAUAACAUUGUCUCAGUGUAGGUCAUAGGUGCUCCCUUCUCCGACCACCAAACAUAAUCUUCUUUGCCAAGGUGCACUAUCCUUUUGAACUUCUCGACCCAACUUUUCCGCAUUUCCCAUAUUGUAACAAGUUUCAACUUGCUAUGUCCACCUCUAUCUGUCACCCUCAUCAUAGUUUAGUUACAGCUUGAUAUUGUAAAAACAUAAGCAUAAUGCUUGGUGAUAUGAAUACAUUAGAGUUCAUCUUUUAAUAGUUCGUGUCCACAGCUUUAACCUCUAGGAAUUCAUUAUGUACUUAUGAUUGUUGCAUAAAUGGAAGGCAAAA